GAUGAAGAACGUAGCGAAAUGCGAUACGUAAUGUGAAUUGCAGAAUUCAGUGAAUCAUCGAAUCUUUGAACGCAUAUUGCGCUCUCUGGUAUUCCGGAGAGCAUGCUUGUUUGAGUAUCAGUAAACACCUCAACUUCCAUAUCUUUUUUUGAAAUGGGAGUUGGACUUGAGUGGUCCCAACGCUUUUCCUCACCGAAAAGUGGCGGGUUACUUGAAAUGCAGGUGCAGCUGGACUUUUCUCUGAGCUAUAAGCAUAUCUAUUUAGUCUGCCUAAAAAACAGAUUAUUACCUUUGCUGCAGCUAACAUAAAGGAGAUUAGUUCUUGUGCUGACUGAUGCAGGAUUCACAAAGACAGCUUCGGCCGACUUUGUAAACUCGAUCUCAAAUCAAGUAAGACUACCCGCUGAACUUAAGCAUAUCAAUAAGCGGAGGA
This 433-nucleotide unclassified non-coding RNA is filed under the name soil metagenome. RNAcentral describes it as "partial contains 5.8S ribosomal RNA, internal transcribed spacer 2, and large subunit ribosomal RNA". The stretch from base 1 to 120 matches the Rfam family "5.8S ribosomal RNA", at positions 35 to 154 of the family's 154-position model. The record is from RNAcentral.